GAUGAACGCUAGCUACAGGCUUAACACAUGCAAGUCGAGGGGCAGCGUGGUCUUAGCUUGCUAAGGCCGAUGGCGACCGGCGCACGGGUGAGUAACACGUAUCCAACCUGCCGUCUACUCUUGGACAGCCUUCUGAAAGGAAGAUUAAUACAAGAUGGCAUCAUGAGUCCGCAUGUUCACAUGAUUAAAGGUAUUCCGGUAGACGAUGGGGAUGCGUUCCAUUAGAUAGUAGGCGGGGUAACGGCCCACCUAGUCUUCGAUGGAUAGGGGUUCUGAGAGGAAGGUCCCCCACAUUGGAACUGAGACACGGUCCAAACUCCUACGGGAGGCAGCAGUGAGGAAUAUUGGUCAAUGGGCGAGAGCCUGAACCAGCCAAGUAGCGUGAAGGAUGACUGCCCUAUGGGUUGUAAACUUCUUUUAUAAAGGAAUAAAGUCGGGUAUGGAUACCCGUUUGCAUGUACUUUAUGAAUA
This 471-nucleotide ribosomal RNA is filed under the name uncultured Bacteroides sp. Its description in RNAcentral is "bacterial SSU rRNA". It matches the Rfam family "Bacterial small subunit ribosomal RNA", at positions 28 to 488 of the family's 1533-position model. Lineage: Bacteria; Pseudomonadati; Bacteroidota; Bacteroidia; Bacteroidales; Bacteroidaceae. The record is from RNAcentral.